Molecule: ribosomal RNA, 635 nt
Filed under: Rotylenchulus reniformis
Lineage: Eukaryota; Metazoa; Nematoda; Chromadorea; Rhabditida; Hoplolaimidae
Description: SSU rRNA
Rfam family: Eukaryotic small subunit ribosomal RNA
Source: RNAcentral
GGUGAUCAGAUACCGCCCUAGUUCUGACCGUAAACGAUGCCAACUAGCGAUCCGCCAGUCGACUCAUCGCUCUGGUGGGGAGCUUCCCGGAAACGAAAGUCUUCCGGUUCCGGGGGAAGUAUGGUUGCAAAGCUGAAACUUAAAGGAAUUGACGGAAGGGCACCACCAGGAGUGGAGCCUGCGGCUUAAUUUGACUCAACACGGGGAAACUCACCCGGCCCGGACACCGUAAGGAUUGACAGAUUGAUAGCUUUUUCAUGAUUCGGUGGAUGGUGGUGCAUGGCCGUUCUUAGUUCGUGGAGCGAUUUGUCUGGUUUAUUCCGAUAACGAGCGAGACUCUGGCCUACUAAAUAGUUGACGCAUUGCCACUGUGCGCACAACUUCUUAGAGGGAUUUUCGGUGUUUUCAACCGCACGAAAUUGAGCAAUAACAGGUCUGUGAUGCCCUUAGAUGUCCGGGGCUGCACGCGCGCUACACUGGCAAACGCAACGUGCCUGUCCUGCCCCGAAAGGAGCGGGUAAACCCCUGAAAUUUUGCCGUGAUUGGGAUCGGACAUUGCAACUAUUGUCCGUGAACGAGGAAUUCCUUGUAGGGGCGAGUCAUCAACUCGUCCCGAAUACGUCCCUGCCCUUUGU